This is an RNA transcript of Benincasa hispida (wax gourd), 1415 nucleotides long. It is a transcript of the gene named Sec20 family protein, with no coding region annotated. The record is from RefSeq and is a predicted model, not a curated record. NCBI's taxonomy places the organism in Eukaryota, Viridiplantae, Streptophyta, Magnoliopsida, Cucurbitales, Cucurbitaceae.
GUGUGUAUAAAUUAGCAAAUCUUGGGCUAAUUUAUAUUCAAAUAAAUCAGCAGAUUAGAUAUCAAAAUCCUUCAAAACUCGGGGGUGUUCGUGUUCCUUCCGAUCUUUGAAAUGGACAAGGUUGCAGAGGAGGUGGAUCGGGUCAAAAAUGAGUGGAACCACGCUUUCCAUCACACUCUCGAGCGGAUUAAGGCAAUCGAAGCAUACGAGAAGCAAAGUGAAUCAAUGGAGAAGAAUUCUCUCCCCAGACUCAAUGCUCUGGCUCAAGAUGGAUUGAAUCUCCUUUCGUCGUUGGAAUUCAAUCUCGAUCUUCUUGCCCCCCAGUUGCUCUCUGAUUCUGAAGUCGAAGCUGCUCAAUCGCUGCUUCAAUCCUGGAAAAAUCAAUCCAACAAUUUGCGAUCGAGUCUGAGAAACGCUAAUAUGCAAGCAAAAGCCAACAUGAGAAAGGCUGCACAGGAGGAGGAUGUUGGUGGCUUUCAUUGUAGAGAGAACGACUUCUCGGUGGAGGAGAAGAGUCCACAAUUCGCAGACGGAAUUUACAGUAUGUUGUCAAUACUUGACGUUUUCAGAAGAACUAAGGCCGGAAUGACAUCUGCUGCAGAAAGCAUCACAGAGAGCCUUCGCCGAACCCGUCAGCUUAUGGUCCAGGAGGUGGAAAGAACUGCAAACACAAUUGAGACUUUCGAGGAAUCAACUGGAGUGUUAAAGAAGGCUGAAAGUGAAUAUAAGGGGCACCGCUCAUUGUUAACGCGAACCAGAAACUUACUUUCAACAAUGCAACGGCAAGAUGUAAUGGACAGGAUUAUAUUGGCCGUCGGAUUUUUCUUUUUCUCUCUUGCUGUUCUUUAUGUCGUGUCAAAACGUAUUGGACUACUGAAGUUGCAGAGGAUGGCCACCGCUGCCAUUAAAGCUGGGAUGGCCAAGCAAGCAAAUCACAUACCUGGAGAUAUUGACCAUGGUAGAAAUCCAGUUCAAGCCAAUGAGGAUUUAAUUCACAGAAUUGCAGAUCCACAGGAACGACGUAUUUGGGACGAACUUUGAAGCGGAACAUUCGUUCGAAAAUGAAUUGACAAAUUGCACAUCUCUAGAGUAUUGUUUUCUGGACAAGGUUUUAAGAACUCAUUUGAAGCAUAAGUCGUUUGGAUUUAUGGAGGUAGAAAAGAUAAUUGGCCAUUUGUGAUGGGUUACCAAUUUGCUGAGCCCCUUUGGAACAGUUGAUCGAGCUUGUUUAGCUUACGUUUGGUUUUAUUUAUAUAUACAGCAAAAAAAGUCUGAGAAAAAAGCAAAAAGAAUAAACCAUUGCGUGGAAAUUUUGAAAACUCAUGUUUCAUUAAGGUAUCCAAAUUUGUUGAGAUGUUUUUUGUAAAGAUAUCCUAGGAUAUUUGAUAAUCAUGUAAUAACUAUUUUAAGUUAAA